This 370-nucleotide long non-coding RNA is filed under the name Rattus norvegicus (Norway rat). RNAcentral describes it as "long non-coding RNA NONRATT033511". Lineage: Eukaryota; Metazoa; Chordata; Mammalia; Rodentia; Muridae. The record is from RNAcentral.
UGUAAAGGUCUUGAGACAUCCUAUGUUAUCACUGUGAAACAUUGUUUAAUUAGCUCCUGUUAACAUAGUCCCAUUUUAUGAUAGUUUCUGCUAAAAUUGGACCAUUUCUUUCUUGAAGGUGGUAUAUGAAAUGCUGUACUUCAUAAUAUGCUUACUUGGCACAAGAACUAGUUUGACAGAAACCAGCUGCUUUUGGAGAAUAAAGCACAAUGAAGAUGAUGAUGGAGAUUUACAGGCUGACUGUGCUUUUUACCUUUUUACGCUUCCGUCACCUUUGGAAGAAGGUUUUUGUAAAACUGUCCUGGAUUUUAGGUAAGCUGUUAGCUUCUUCAUUUUCUGGAUAAAUAUCAUAAAUUAGAAACCUGAGACU